RNAcentral lists this long non-coding RNA (1102 nucleotides) under Coturnix japonica (Japanese quail). RNAcentral describes it as "lncRNA (ENSCJPG00005008881.1)". The record is from RNAcentral. Lineage: Eukaryota; Metazoa; Chordata; Aves; Galliformes; Phasianidae.
GUCAUUCAGGGACACAGGAAUCUGUUGUUCAGCUGUCAGCCAAGUUCAUGAAUAUCUGUGCCUUUCAAAUUCCUCCCAAGAAAGAGGUGAAGUCCCUUGGAACGAUAACUGUAGCAUGGCAUUUAAAAAUCUCUUCAUCAAUUAAUCAUGUUCCUGGAGAGUAGGAGUAAUAACAAGAAUACACACCAUUAUCAUAAAAAGAGAUUAAUAAUUAUUUGCUCAGCAUCUUGGGCAUUUUCUGUAUAUCUACUCAUCCCAGAUAAGUGCUUUGAGGUUUCAUUCCUAUAUGGAAUGUAUGUGAAAAUGUUGGACAGAACAGAAAUCUAACAUUUCCUUGUUGCUGUUAUCAACAGGAGUGAAGUCAAGAGGUGUCUGAGACAGGUAAGUUUUGCAGAAACCUGGCAUCCCAAGGGCUGUCAAGAGAGUGAGCAGCCACCUGGCUCUCCCUGCCCCCAGCAGUGAUGUGCUCCAGAACCACUUAACAAAGAGUGCAAAGGGAAAAAUUGUUCCUGGUGAAGAAAAGAUACUUCAAGUCUUUUGCAGUGUGAGACCAUUCAGAAUUACAUGAGGUGAGACAUAAAAGUAUAAGGGUCUGGAAAAAAAAAAAAAAUCUUAACAUUAAACAUUAAAAGAAUACUUGAAACAAGAACAGGCACUGAAAUGCGGAAGAAUCAGCAGGGAAGACAGAAAAAAAGGGUGAAUAUAAAGACCCAAGGACAGGGUAAGAAAGUUAAGUGAUGACCCAGAAUUAGUAAUAAUAACAAUAAGAAGAAGAAGAAGAAGGAGAAAAGCAUAAUGGGUCUGGUGAGCUGCAGGUGUCCAAAAAGUUCAAUUAGAAGUGGAAAGAGUGAAAGAACACUCUUGCAUCUCAAGCUCUAAAAGAACCAGUGAGAGUCUAUGUAUUCUGCAUGUGAGGAGAAGUCCUUUGCUGUGGCACAGAAACUGGAGCCACUGUACAAGUAUAUCUGUAUGUGACCACAGUCAUCAUCAUUCAAGAUACCUCUGUAUUUCCCUACAGUCAAAGUACAUUAUGUCUUUGAACUACAUCAGUACAUAGGAUGCUGUGUUAUUUUAAGUAUACCAGGCAGCAAUUAUAUUUUCU